This is a long non-coding RNA of Lycium barbarum (goji berry), 1087 nucleotides long. RefSeq lists it as uncharacterized. The record is from RefSeq and is a predicted model, not a curated record. NCBI's taxonomy places the organism in Eukaryota, Viridiplantae, Streptophyta, Magnoliopsida, Solanales, Solanaceae. The transcript has 2 exons.
UUGGUUUUGCAAUAGAAAAGCAGUUCAAAGUGUUUAAACUAAACCUGGCGGCAGGUUAUGUAUGCCGUGGAGUUGAUAUGACUUAUAGCAUUCCUCAUGUGCCAAUGUUGUUGUCCAUUUGUGGCGAGGUUAAUUUGCUGAGAGCAUUGACUACUCUCAAAUCUUUCCGAUUUGUUAAUGUCCGCAUAACACAGGAAGUUGUUGAAUUCCUUUUGUCCAACUGCCCUUUACUGGAGGAAGUGUGUAUUUCAGCGUCAAUUGCUCCUGAUAGUUUGAAAGUUGCUUGUUCAUCAUCUAAGUUAAGGUCCAUGGAAAUAUCAAAUUGUGUUGCUUUGGAGACUAUGGAGGUUCAUGCUUCAGGGCUUGUGUCUUUUACAUACAUUGGACGUACUAUCGAAGUGCCUUUCAAGAAAGUUCCCCUCUUAUCUGAGCUAACUAUUGGAGGAUAUUAUGCUGAUUCUUUUAAUUUUGAUGCUCACAAGCACUCUAGCUAUUGUCGAAAUCUAAAGAAGAUUAAACUGGAAGUUUCAUUUGAGUAGCAUACAUAUACCUUCUCUCUUCUUUUCCUCAUUUGUAGUCUGCUUUCAUAUUCAAAUUAAGUUGUUAACAUGCAUUGUUUCAAAUCUUUUUAGUUAACUAGGAAAUGCUGGGUGAUUCCCGAUGUAUAUCCUCAGCUCUGCCAUCUGAAAGAGUUGGAAUUGGACAUCUCCACAGAAGAGGGUGGCCUUUGCUUCGUCACAUUCUUGACUAAGUGUUCUCCUGAGUUGUCAAAUUUAACCAUCAAGGUGCGAAUUUUCCAAUCUCUUAAGAAGAUGAUCAUUGACACAGAGGGAGAUCUUCUGCUUCAUUACUGAUCAACAAGAAGGCAAUCAUUGAGUGUGCUGAGCACCUGAAAGCAAAUUUACCUCCCGGAGCUGAAUUGUCGACAUGUGUUCCUGGUUUUACAAAGAAGCUGGAUGUCCCCAAAUGGUUUUAAACGUGCAAAUUUAUCAUGACUUGCUUAUUUUGCUACUUAAAAUUUUCAGUAUUUUAUUGGCAAAUUUGGUGGAUAGGUUAUUUAAUUUGAUGAAUUUUCACUCUUUUCUUA